Molecule: transfer RNA, 85 nt
Filed under: Rhizobium sp. 57MFTsu3.2
Lineage: Bacteria; Pseudomonadati; Pseudomonadota; Alphaproteobacteria; Hyphomicrobiales; Rhizobiaceae
Also listed under: 4 other names
Description: tRNA-Leu
Rfam family: tRNA
About the family: Transfer RNA (tRNA) molecules are approximately 80 nucleotides in length. Their secondary structure includes four short double-helical elements and three loops (D, anti-codon, and T loops).
Source: RNAcentral
GCGAGCGUGGCGAAACUGGUAGACGCAAGGGACUUAAAAUCCCUCACCGCAAGGUAUACGGGUUCGAUCCCCGUCGCUCGCACCA